RNAcentral lists this ribosomal RNA (398 nucleotides) under uncultured bacterium. RNAcentral's name for it is "partial 16S ribosomal RNA". It matches the Rfam family "Bacterial small subunit ribosomal RNA", at positions 523 to 918 of the family's 1533-position model. The record is from RNAcentral.
AUACGUAGGGUGCGAGCGUUGUCCGGAAUUACUGGGCGUAAAGAGCUCGUAGGUGGUUUGUCGCGUCGUCUGUGAAAUUCCGGGGCUUAACUCCGGGCGUGCAGGCGAUACGGGCAUAACUUGAGUACUGUAGGGGAGACUGGAAUUCCUGGUGUAGCGGUGAAAUGCGCAGAUAUCAGGAGGAACACCGGUGGCGAAGGCGGGUCUCUGGGCAGUAACUGACGCUGAGGAGCGAAGGCAUGGGUAGCGAACAGGAUUAGAUACCCUGGUAGUCCAUGCCGUAAACGGUGGGCGCUAGGUGUAGGGGUCUUCCACGACUUCUGUGCCGUAGCUAACGCAUUAAGCGCCCCGCCUGGGGAGUACGGCCGCAAGGCUAAAACUCAAAGGAAUUGACGGGG